Molecule: ribosomal RNA, 492 nt
Filed under: uncultured bacterium
Lineage: Bacteria
Description: partial 16S ribosomal RNA
Rfam family: Bacterial small subunit ribosomal RNA
Source: RNAcentral
AGUGAACGCUGGCGGUAGGCCUAACACAUGCAAGUCGAACGGCAGCACAGUAAGAGCUUGCUCUUACGGGUGGCGAGUGGCGGACGGGUGAGGAAUACAUCGGAAUCUACUUUUUCGUGGGGGAUAACGUAGGGAAACUUACGCUAAUACCGCAUACGACCUACGGGUGAAAGCAGGGGAUCUUCGGACCUUGCGCGAUUGAAUGAGCCGAUGUCGGAUUAGCUAGUUGGCGGGGUAAAGGCCCACCAAGGCGACGAUCCGUAGCUGGUCUGUGAGGAUGAUCAGCCACACUGGAACUGAGACACGGUCCAGACUCCUACGGGAGGCAGCAGUGGGGAAUAUUGGACAAUGGGCGCAAGCCUGAUCCAGCCAUACCGCGUGGGUGAAGAAGGCCUUCGGGUUGUAAAGCCCUUUUGCUGGGAAAGAAAAGCAGCAGGUUAAUACCCCGCUGUUCUGACGGUACCCAAAGAAUAAGCACCGGCUAACUUCGUG